Molecule: long non-coding RNA, 848 nt
Filed under: Setaria italica (foxtail millet)
Lineage: Eukaryota; Viridiplantae; Streptophyta; Magnoliopsida; Poales; Poaceae
Description: long non-coding RNA (SITA_LNC001528)
Source: RNAcentral
UUUGCGAGACGAAUCUUUUGAGCCUAAUUAGUCAAUAUUUGGAUAAUAAUUCACAAAUACAAACGAAACGCUACAGUGUCGCAUUUAUGGCAAAAUACCAAUUUGGCACCUCCCAACUUGGGAAGUAAACAAGGUUGGAAGGCUUCGGCACACCGAACAAGACGCGAACGCGACGCACGCACACCCUAAAAAUGACAUGAGAUUUCGUGAUUGGGUUCCAGUCCAACGGCUCAUCAACAGAUGCAGAGAUGCUCCAGUUCGGCACCACGCCACCGUCUUCCCUUCCCCUACCAAUCGCCCAACAAGCAGAAUCCAUGAGCCACGGCACAGAAUAUCACACGCUCAAGAAACGAAAGAACAUGUCGGAAUCACAGUUUUUUCACAACAAAAACACAGAUUGCUGGCACUAGCACUAGGAAGGUGGGCCUUGUUUAGUUAGGGAAUUUGGGAGGUGCCAAAUUCUGUUACAGCACUGUAGCACACUGUAGCGUUUCGUUUGUAUUUGUGAAUUAUUGUCCAAAUAUUGACUAAUUAGGCUCAAAAGAUUCGUCUCGCAAAGUACAACAAAACUGUGCAAUUAGUUUUUAAUUUCAUCUACAUUUAGUACUCCAUGCAUGUACCGCAAGUUUGAUGUGAUGGGGAAUCUUCUUUUUGCAUAGUGUCAAAGUUGGGAGUUGGGAGUAACUAAACAUGGCCCAAGGUAAGAGUUCGGGGCUAGCAGUUGGGAGAUCUACACGAACAGGAAGGAGGCCACCAGGAUCUUGUGUUCCUGCCCGCACAUUCCAUCGUCAUCCACGGGGGGCUGGCUGACCUGCUGAUUGAUUCUACAAAGAACACGGGAUGAAAUC